RNAcentral lists this unclassified non-coding RNA (186 nucleotides) under Glomus sp. RNAcentral describes it as "partial contains 5.8S ribosomal RNA and internal transcribed spacer 2". The stretch from base 1 to 72 matches the Rfam family "5.8S ribosomal RNA", at positions 84 to 154 of the family's 154-position model. The record is from RNAcentral. Lineage: Eukaryota; Fungi; Glomeromycota; Glomeromycetes; Glomerales; Glomeraceae.
GUGAAUCAUCAAAUUUUUGAACGCAAAUUGCACUCUCCGGUUUUCCGGGAGAGGAUGCCUGUUUGAGGGACUGUUUAAAAAAUAAUCGAAGCUGCUGCUGUUGCGGCGAUUCGGAAUUGGGUCAUCUUCUACCUUUCUGGGGUGUAAGCGACCGAAAAUUUUUCAUAGGAUUUCUACGUACGUUUU